GGGUCAGUGGGUUGGUCGUGCCACCGGUACGUACUGGUCUCACUGAUUCCUCCUUCCUGAAGAACCGUAAUGCCAUUAAUUUGGUGUUGCGGGGAAACAGGACUGUUACUUUGAAAAAAUUAGAGUGUUUAAAGCAAGCUGACGCUUGAAUACAUUAGCAUGGAAUAAUGAAAUAGGACGAUCGAUCCUAUUUUGUUGGUUUCUAGGAUUGACGUA
This 216-nucleotide ribosomal RNA is filed under the name Glomeromycotina sp. RNAcentral describes it as "partial small subunit ribosomal RNA". The stretch from base 40 to 216 matches the Rfam family "Eukaryotic small subunit ribosomal RNA", at positions 686 to 864 of the family's 1831-position model. The record is from RNAcentral. Lineage: Eukaryota; Fungi; Glomeromycota.